This 460-nucleotide ribosomal RNA is filed under the name uncultured bacterium. RNAcentral describes it as "partial 16S ribosomal RNA". It matches the Rfam family "Bacterial small subunit ribosomal RNA", at positions 338 to 795 of the family's 1533-position model. The record is from RNAcentral.
CCUACGGGUGGCUGCAGUGAGGAAUAUUGGUCAAUGGGCGAGAGCCUGAACCAGCCAAGUCGCGUGAGGGAAGACGGUCCUAUGGAUUGUAAACCUCUUUUGUCGGGGAGCAAAAAGGCCUCGCGAGGCCACAAGUGAGAGUACCCGAAGAAAAAGCAUCGGCUAACUCCGUGCCAGCAGCCGCGGUAAUACGGAGGAUGCGAGCGUUAUCCGGAUUUAUUGGGUUUAAAGGGUGCGUAGGCGGAAUAUCAAGUCAGCGGUAAAAAUUCGGGGCUCAACCCCGUCGUGCCGUUGAAACUGAUGUUCUUGAGUGGGCGAGAAGUAUGCGGAAUGCGUGGUGUAGCGGUGAAAUGCAUAGAUAUCACGCAGAACUCCGAUUGCGAAGGCAGCAUACCGGCGCCCAACUGACGCUGAAGCACGAAAGCGUGGGUAUCGAACAGGAUUAGAUACCCGGGUAGUC